Small nuclear RNA from Lemur catta (Ring-tailed lemur), 107 nucleotides. The record is from RefSeq and is a predicted model, not a curated record. Lineage: Eukaryota; Metazoa; Chordata; Mammalia; Primates; Lemuridae.
GUGCUUGCUUUGGCAGCACAUAUACUAAAAUUGGAAUGAUACAGAGAAGAUUAGCAUGGCCACUGCAAAAAAAUUAAAAAAAAAAUUAUUACAAUUUAAAAAUCCCC